This 117-nucleotide non-coding RNA is filed under the name Chlorocebus sabaeus (green monkey). The record is from Rfam by way of RNAcentral. Lineage: Eukaryota; Metazoa; Chordata; Mammalia; Primates; Cercopithecidae.
GUCGGGCACGGUGGCGCAUGCCUGUAAUCCCAGCACUUUGGGAGGCUGAGGUGGGUGGAUCACUUGAGGUCAGGAGUUUAAGACCAGCCUGGCCAACAUAGUGAAACCCCAUCUCUA